GAGCGGCGAACGGGUGAGUAACACGUGAGCAACCUGCCCCUGACUCUGGGAUAAGCCUGGGAAACCGGGUCUAAUACCGGAUAUGACCGUCUCCGGCAUCGGACGAUGGUGGAAAGAUUUUUUGGUCGGGGAUGGGCUCGCGGCCUAUCAGCUUGUUGGUGGGGUAGUGGCCUACCAAGGCGACGACGGGUAGCCGGCCUGAGAGGGCGACCGGCCACACUGGGACUGAGACACGGCCCAGACUCCUACGGGAGGCAGCAGUGGGGAAUAUUGCGCAAUGGGCGGAAGCCUGACGCAGCGACGCCGCGUGGGGGAUGACGGCCUUCGGGUUGUAAACCUCUUUCAGCAGGGACGAAGUUGACGUGUACCUGCAGAAGAAGCGCCGGCUAACUACGUGCCAGCAGCCGCGGUAAUACGUAGGGCGCAAGCGUUGUCCGGAAUUAUUGGGCGUAAAGAGCUCGUAGGUGGCUGGUCGCGUCUGCCGNGAAAGCCCGCAGCUUAACUGCGGGUCUGCGGGUGGAUACGGGCCGGCUAGAGGUAGGUAGGGGCAAGUGGAAUUCCU
RNAcentral lists this ribosomal RNA (562 nucleotides) under Nonomuraea sp. 411H09. Its description in RNAcentral is "bacterial SSU rRNA". It matches the Rfam family "Bacterial small subunit ribosomal RNA", at positions 93 to 671 of the family's 1533-position model. The record is from RNAcentral. Lineage: Bacteria; Bacillati; Actinomycetota; Actinomycetes; Streptosporangiales; Streptosporangiaceae.